UACCACACGUACCAGUACCACCACACGUACCACUACUACCACACGUACCAGUACUACUAGAAUUGGUACUACAACUAGUAGCGAUCCUACUAGUACCGCUUGUACUCACACUACAACUAGUACUACUGCAAGGCCUACUACAACUAGUACUACCAGUAGUACUGCUAGUACGACUACUGCACUACUACCAGUACUACAGCUACUACCAGUACUACUACCAGUACUACCGGUACUACUACCAGUACUACAACUACUACCAGUACUACAACUACCAAUACUACUGGUACUACUACCAGUACUACAACUACUACCAGUACUACAACUACUAUCUGUACUACUACCAGUACUACAACUACUACCAAUACUACUACCAGUACUACAACUACUACCUGUACUACUACCAGUUCUACCGGUACUACUACGACUACUGCUAUCACUACUACCGCCUCUAUAUCUACGAAAAAUACUGCUACCCCUACAACUACCCGUCAGUUACUACUACAACCACUACUCCAACUCAGGCAGGGUGUGCAGGUGACGUCACCGGUAGAGGCGGUCUGCAGACGCCGUCGGAACGCCCUCCGCCGUAGGAGGGGGUCGAUUCUCCGGUCCGAGAGAGCCAUGAGAGGAGGAGGAGCAGGAGGCCUCGGGCGGACUGGGUCACCCAAUUUACGGAGGUGGUCACGCUCCACUCCCACGGCAGUCGAGCUUGUACAAGGUUGGCCGCCUGUCCGAACGCCCAUGGCGUCAGCAGAGGCGUCUCCUCUCACCCGACCAGGAAGCGCCCCCCCCCCCCCACACUUUAUGGACGCCGCUGGAGGAGCCGGCACCGCUGACGGGCACAGAGCCCUCGGGCACGGCGAUCGACGCGGGAUCAAUCUUCACCGGGCCGGCGGUGGUGAUGGGGUUCCGUUGAAGGCUCCGCGGUCGAGCUGACGGCAGCGCGGAACCCAGAGAGAGAGAGACGGCGAAGGGUCCCCUCAGGGAGUGAUGUAGGAUCACCCUCAGCGGGGGCCGAUACCGCUGGAUGCCAUCGGAGCAGAAACCGCGCCAAAAUCCCCUAGGCCCAACGGUAGAAUCCCCGAGGCUGUAAAAUGGCCGUGCCUUUCAGACAAUGGCCUCACUCCCGUGAGCUCUGAAAUCUUAUUUUCAGCCCUAAGGCUGUCAUUCCCACAUUUAAGCACGAGUGUGGAGAUGAUUGUGUUCUCUAAGUAAUAAUUCUAAAGCAAUUUUACUCAAUUCCUAGUAAUGUGUGUGUGCGUGGAUUCCGUCGCGAUAUAGAAUGUUUCCUCUGAGACAAAUUCGAACUGUAAAAACAUGCUUGAGUAUUGCAAUUACGUUUUCAUUUGCAACAAUUGUAUCAUCUGUUAGCAUGUGCAUUGCAGUGUCACCUUGAAAGUAUGCUUGAAUUCCAACCCUUACACGUCACA
Long non-coding RNA from Lethenteron reissneri (Far Eastern brook lamprey), 1430 nucleotides. RefSeq lists it as uncharacterized. The record is from RefSeq and is a predicted model, not a curated record. Lineage: Eukaryota; Metazoa; Chordata; Hyperoartia; Petromyzontiformes; Petromyzontidae.